Molecule: long non-coding RNA, 1236 nt
Organism: Oncorhynchus keta (chum salmon)
Lineage: Eukaryota; Metazoa; Chordata; Actinopteri; Salmoniformes; Salmonidae
Exons: 3
Source: RefSeq, a predicted model, not a curated record
AUCUCAAAACUCCUUUCUGCUACUGAAUCAGUGGGGGAAGGAAUAAAAUGCAACACCUCAAAACUCCUUCCUGCUACUGAAUCAGUGGGGGAGGAGGGAAUAAAACGCGACACACUCAAAGGAAACAUGUUUAAGGAGGAGAGGAAGUGGUCAGCUUAUAAAACACGACACUGAUCUCAGGUCAGUGUUCAUGUAGAACCCCUCUACUAGUUAACUUAUACUACACUGGUUGAGGAAAUGGAGACUGUUCCUGGAUCUGUGCUUCUGUCGACAGGCACGAGAUCAGAAGGUGUCCAAACUCAUUCCAUGGAGGGCAGUCAUCUGCUGGUUUUAGUUAUUUCACUGUUUAAUAUGUCAGUAUGAAGUCCUAGACAACCAGGUGAGGGGAGAUCCUAGGCAACCAGGUGAGGUCCUAGACAACCAGGUGAGGGGAGAUCCUUGACAACCAGGUGAGAUCCUAGACAACCAGGUGAGAUCCUAGACAACCAGGUGAGGGGAGAUCCUAGACAACCAGGUGAGAUCCUAGACAACCAGGUGAGAUCCUAGACAACCAGGUGAGAUCCUAGACAACCAGGUGAGAUCCUAGACAACCAGGUGAGAUCCCAGACAACCAGUUGAGGUCCUAGACAACCAGGUGAGGGGAGGUCCUAGACAACCAGGUGAGGGGAGGUCCUAGACAACCAGGUGAGGGGAGGUCCUAGACAACCAGGUGAGGUGAGGUCCUAGACAACCAGGUGAGGUGAGGUCCUAGACAACCAGGUGAGGUCCUAGACAACCAGGUGAGGUCCUAGACAACCAGGUGAGGUCCUAGACAACCAGGUGAGGGGAGAUCCUAGACAACCAGGUGAGGUCCUAGACAACCAGGUGAGGUCCUAGACAACCAGGUGAGGUCCUAGACAACCAGGUGAGGUCCUAGACAACCAGGUGAGGGGAGGUCCUAGACAACCAGGUGAGGGGAGGUCCUAGACAACCAGGUGAGGGGAGGUCCUAGACAACCAGGUGAGGGGAGGUCCUAGACAACCAGGUGAGUGGGAGGUCCUAGACAACCAGGUGAGUGGGAGGUCCUAGACAACCAGGUGAGUGGGAGGUCCUAGACAAGCAGGUGAGUGGGAGGUCCUAGACAACCAGGUGAGGGGAGGUCCUAGACAACCAGGUGAGGGGAGGUCCUAGACAACCAGGUGAGGGGAGGUCCUAGACAACCAGGUGAGGGGAGGUCCUAGACAACCAGGUGAGGUC